GCUAUGUACGGUUGUGAUAAGCGCUGAAAGCAUCUAAGCGCGAAGCCAUCCCCGAGAUUAGGUUUCGUUGGACUUCGGUCCUGAACUCCCCUGGAAGACUACCAGGUUGAUAGGCUGGCUGUGUAAGGCGUGCAAACGCUUAAGCUGACCAGUACUAACGGAGGAAUGCUUGACCAC
Molecule: ribosomal RNA, 177 nt
Filed under: Fuerstiella sp.
Lineage: Bacteria; Pseudomonadati; Planctomycetota; Planctomycetia; Planctomycetales; Planctomycetaceae
Description: partial 23S ribosomal RNA
Rfam family: Bacterial large subunit ribosomal RNA
Source: RNAcentral